AAAGAGAAAGAAGAUGAGAAGAGUCAGACAUAGAGAAACAGAAAAGAGAGGAACUAAAUGUGGGAUGAAAAAGUACUGAAAAGGCCUAACUAUGAUAGAAGUAGCAACGGCAGAAAGCAGCUCCCAUUUUUUUGAAAGACAUUUGAAUUACUAAAUCUUGAGAGCUGGUGAAGGGGCAGUGUGGAACAGAAAUUCAAUAUAUCUGAAGACAAGACACAGCUGACUGGAGCUGGUACCAAUGAGGUGCAUGAACUGGUUGGCCCUGCAAGUGUUGAAAAAAUCGUAAAAUGGACUUGAUCCUUUAUGAAGGAACUGCUGCUCAGAGUAAAGAAGAAUUACUAGGUUAUGCUCACAGGAACAGAGAACAGUCAGGAAGCAGCAGGAAGUGAGAGUAAGGAAGAUGCCUCCUCUUUCUCUUGCAGUUUUGCAAUCUCCUCCAUGUGUGCCUCAUGAGCAGAGUCUAACAGGGAGCCAGCCAAUAAAGCAGAAAUCUUUCCAGAGUCUUAGCUGCAGCGUCACCAAGUAGAUGCUGAGACAGUAGUAGCUGAUAUUGGACACAGUUCACCUCUUUAGCAACAGUGCAUGCAUCCUCACACUUUCCAUACAUAUUUACAUUUCCAUACAACAACCAUAAUACCAUGUUUCUGCCUAACAAGCCGCAACUAUUAUUCACAGCACAAAGACAUUCUCCAAAAUGAAGAGUCUCAAAAUCCCAAGAAUCAUAUUCAUUUCUGAUAAACAUUCACAUUAUCCACCUCUGAGCUGUGUCAAUUGUUUCAAAACUAAAGUAAAAAUUCCAUUUGCAGUAAACUCUGUGGGCUGGAUUGGAGUAAGAGAUGUUAGUAUAAACUCAUGUUAAUUUUAAUAUGGCUACAUACAGAAGUAUAAAUAGAAAAAUAAUUCUGGGUAUGUAUGUAUGUAAGGGUAUAUAUCUAUCUGUAUAUCUAUAGAUAGAUAUACUGUAUUGGUCCAUUUUCACACUGCUAUAAAGAUACUCCUGGGAUGGGCAACUUUUAAACAAAUGAAGUUUAAUUGCCUCAGUUACACAUGGCUGGGGAGGCCUCAGGAAACCUUAUGGCAGGAGGCAAAGAGGAAGCAACGCACGUCUUCACAAGGCAGCAGAAGAGAAAGAGAACGAAAGAGGAACUCCUGAACCCUUUUAAAACCAUCAGCUCUGGCUGGAUUUGUGGAUUCACUUGCAAAGAAAAGAUGAGAGAAAGAGGACCACAAAUAACUUUACAGUGGAAAAAAGGGCAGAUCUACCAAGAGAUCAAGGCUGACAUCACAGAUACUGUGUUUGUCGCAAAUUGAAAGUUUGUGGCAACCCUCCAUCAAGCAAGUCUAUCAGCACCACUGCAUCAUUUUUCCAACAGCAUGUGCUCACUUCAUGUCUCGGUGUCAUCAUUUUGGAAGGAUAGAGAAAAUAGAAGAUAUCGAGAGGAAAGAGCAAAAAGUUUUGCUUUUUUAUUCUGAGAAAGUAAUGCAUAUUUCUGCUCAUGAAUCAGAAUUUCCAAGUAAUCCAGACAGUGAGCCUCCACUGAGAACAAAGAAGAUCUUCAAAGCCACCAGUCAGCCAAAGAGGUCAUAAGUGAGAACCUCUCAGUGAGAUGCCAGGACUUCUGGAGAGAACUCCUACUAGAAUUCCUCAGAAUCAGCACAGCAAUGUUUUGCCCAGGCCCCCUUCCCUGCCCUGGUAAGACUGGAGUUGCUUCACCCUGGCCAUUAAAUUGGAAAUAAAAUGUCUUUGCGUAGAUGAUACCUGUUAGCCUGAUGGAAGAACUUCUUGUAUUAUGUUUUUUUUUUCUAAUUUAGUUAGAAAAGUACCUUAAUCAGAAUUCAAAGAUGCAUAAGCGUACUGUCUUUAAAAUUGUCACAUUGGUAAGUUAUGUAGAUUUUUAAAAACAUUACUGCCAUUUAUCAAGGCACUUGGAGAGUAUGUCCUUUAGAAUUAUAUUCCAAGUCCUUUCAAAGCUACAUUCAUUCCUUAGCCUAUUCUCAAAACAAAUUGGAGAGGAUAGGCUUACAGCAUAACCUCCUAGAAUAGGCAAAGACACCUACAAAUACUUAUUAAGCUACCUCUUGUCUUUCCAAACUUGCUUACAGUCAGAAAGUCUAACCUAUUUAGAAAGUAAGUCCAUUCAGUUUUAUGUGUGAGAAUGGUAACAGUCUAAUCACUUCCAUUCUUUGGAUACUAAUGACUUUGGGAUAUUUCCAAAACCAGAUGUACUUUCAAAAAAUGGCUAUUUGAAAUUACUUAGUAAUGCCUAGUGAAUUAGCUUUUUCUACUUAAAGGUAGACUUCAGCUCUUCAACAAUACCUACAAAAUCACAUAGGUCUUCUUGGUAUAUGCAAAUUUUUUUGUUCCUUCUUUGUAACUGUACGUAAAGAUGGAUUCUCAAUAUUAAUGGGGAUAUUCACAUCUCUGAAUUACUGGAACCAAUAUUUUUCUAAUUGAUAUAAAGCUAGAUAUUUUCAAAUUUUAUUAGAUGUUAUUGUCAGGUGCUAAGUCAAUUGUGUAAUAUAUUAUUAAACAAUGUAAAGAAGUUUCUCAACAUGUUACCUAUUUCAAUAAAAAUAAUUUUUGCAACAGCAUAUGGUUUUGAAUUAAAAAUAGAAAAUAA
This 2621-nucleotide long non-coding RNA is filed under the name Homo sapiens (human). RNAcentral describes it as "HSALNT0077409". Lineage: Eukaryota; Metazoa; Chordata; Mammalia; Primates; Hominidae. The record is from RNAcentral.